RNAcentral lists this long non-coding RNA (3875 nucleotides) under Capsicum annuum. Its description in RNAcentral is "long non-coding RNA (CANN_LNC000090)". The record is from RNAcentral. Lineage: Eukaryota; Viridiplantae; Streptophyta; Magnoliopsida; Solanales; Solanaceae.
CCAUGGCAGUUCGGGUUGACUCAGUUAGCCUCUCAAACUUCAACCCUUCCCUUAUCAUUUGGUUGUUAGAUAGAACCAGAAAACCUUGAGGUUAAUAUAUUCAAGAACUUUCAGCAACAACUGACCUUUCAUAUUGUAAUUCAAAUACCUUCCAGAUGCGUCUUGGGAAUUGGUAGGGAGAAAGUUAAUAAUAUUACCCGUUGAUACGAGAAUGACCACGGAGAUGGACAUAUGUGAGAUGUAUUGAACCCGAGACUUGGAGCGUGCAAGUGAAGUGCAAAGGAGGGCCUAAAUAGGCUCCAAAACAGUCCACAAACUGCACUCCAAGGGCACCUAAAGAGAAGCAUUUGACUAAGGGGUCUUUUGGACAUUUCACACUAUUUUUGUAACCUACUAUAAAUAGAAUAUGUUAGGUCAUUUACUAGGGAAACUUGGAUGAUAUUUGUAAGUUGUAUAACACUUGGAAAGACGAGUCCUCUCUUCUCUUUAGGAGGCAACCCGAAACUAGGGUGAUACUAGUUUGGAAUCACUAGGGUUGCAUUCAUGGCUUGAGACGUUGGUGUUUAGAGGAGGUAAAGUCCCUCUUGGGUCAACGUAGGAGUUAGGUUAACCGUUGUGUGUAGUGUUAAGGGUCCAAGAGUAUCACAUGUUCUUGGGUUCUUAAGAUUAUACCAACCAAAGUCUAACUAUCUAUCCUUUGUUCAUUUUAUUCUUGUAAUCGUUUUUACUAGUUUGUUCUUGAUUCAAGGGAAGCCGUGAGUUGUUGUUACAAUAUUGUUGUGAUCUUCUUUUUGUUGUAUAACUUAAUUUGGUUGUUGGUUGCCUUAGUGUGUUAAACACCUUGUAAUCUCGUCAUACUUGCUCUUAUUUGUUGAAUCCGAGAGUGGUCUCCAAAAAGGUCCUCGGAUCCUUAAGAUUAGUGGACUGAUUUGGAGUGUGUUUUUGAUACUUCCUUGUUUGUCUUGUAUCAUUUGGUAUCAAAGCUCAAGGCUUAAUUUUGUUCUCACAAAAUCAAUCUUGGGAAGAGAUCACCAAACUUGUGUUGAAAGCCUUGGCCAAGAGUUUGUUGUCUUGUGAAGUUGUCUUGGCCGAGAGUUAUUAGCUAGAUCUGAAAGGAUUUUGUUUGUUUAGUGUGUUUCUUGUGUUAGUUUCUUUCUCACCAACACAAAGGUGUCUAGAUCUAAAGUUGAGCUUAACAUAUUGACCUUGUAUUGUGGACUUGAAGUGGCCGUGUGUUGAACCUUGAAGGUUGGCCGUGUUGUGUGUUGUUGCUAGCCGUUGGAGUGGACAUUGUUGUUGUGUUGUGGUGGUGUUCUUGAAGUUGUUGUUGUAUGUUCAUCUUGUUCUUCACCUAGUCUUAUAAUAUAACCAACAAAAAGUGCAAAUAGAUUCAAGAAGGGUGAAGAUAAAAGUUGUAAAGUUGUUUGUGAGAAGACUUGAACCAUCACUUCCUAGACUUGACAUCCACUUUUCAACGACUAUCCCUAAAUCAAGGAGCCUUGUUUGGUGGAACUAGUACAAGUCAAGAUCAUCUUUUUGAGAAUAAACUUACAAAAGACUCAAGACUUAUACUUUCCCUCCAAAACCAAUUGUCUUUCAUUCUAAAUUGUGAAAUUGUGUGAAGGUUGAAAAUUUCAAAUUUGUGACUAAGUUGUGUGGGCCUGAGACAAAUUGCGUGCUGAAAAAAUUAGUUGAUCCUAGAACUAAUUAACAAACUAGUAAACUCCUACUAGAUUGUCAAUUAGUCCUUUGCAUCCAUUGUUCGUGUCUACAUUAUUUUGUGCUUUUCUUGUAGUUGAAUCGUAGAAUUUCUUGGUUCAAGUUUGGACAUCAUUCCUUGAGUUUUCAAACAAAGUAUCCAUUCCGACCAAGGAGUAGACUCACGCCCCAACUCAUCACGAACUACAAGCCGACUUGCAAUACUUGUGAAUCCAAGUGUGAUACGAUCAAGUGUGUGAGAGUGUGGUGAGGUUGUUCUGAACUAACUUGUGUUUUGCUUUGUAGGUUUGUUCUUUUUUUUUCUUUUUUUUUAGGUACAAUUACAAGGGAACCCGCGACUUCAACCUCUCAACCCAUGGACAACAAUGCCACCAAUGUCAUUUUGGCCUACCUUGACACUAUGUCCCGAGACCUAGCUAUGGCAAAUGAAAGGUUGGAUUGUAUCGUAGGUCAAAGGGAGCAAGUGGGAUGCCCGGACACACGUCAAGAGGAAGGCCGUAGCUCACGAGGUAAAAACGCCAUCCCCUACACUCCUAUGAACUUAGUAUGUUGUGUUGUGGCUAGUAGGAGCCAAGUAGGUGUAGUUGCGGCUUUGCCUAGGGUAGAGGUGCUCGAGUCGUCCUUUUGUGAUACUCUUAGUGAUGUUAGGUCGCGGGAGGAUCAAACUCUUGUUGUAAGUAUGCAAGCAUUAGUUGAUCCUUUAGAUGACGAAAUUGAUUCUUCUCGCAAGAAUAAUUUGUGUCCAUCUAGUGCUAGCCCUUAUAACUUGAGUAAGAUUCCAUUACCAAUUGACGAGAGUAUUCACACACUAGUUGACCCUUGUGCAAGCCAAGGUGAGUCUAUGUUGGUAUGUGAGUUGCCAACAACUAGUGAGGAUAUGAAUGAAGAUCAACUUACUCAUGAAUGUAUUCCACUACUUAAGCAUAUGUGUGGUGUGCUUGAGAAAUCUCAAGUUAGUGAUGGUGUUUAUAGGGUUGAUCUUGAUGGUGCAUGUGACUCUUUGAACAUCUUGUGUGGUAAAAGCCUUGCUAGUAGUUUUGUUCAUAGAGAUCAUGUGUAUGGAAAUGUUGUAAAUGAUGGCAUAUGUCUUUUUGAGGUAGGACUUCUAGGCCGUAUCUCUCUAUUCUUGAAUAUUAGUUUUCUCUUAAAGGUAAAUGUCAUGCGUGAUUGUGGGAGUGACAUUCUAGGGGAAGGAAGGGUUAGCCUCGGCUUAGACCCUUGGCUACUUCUCCCAUUUGACCCCGGCACCCUCUCGGAAUGUGGGAAUUUCUACAAUUCCCACUUGAUGCUUGGUCAAGACGACAAGCAAUGUUUGAUUGUGGGUGCUAACAAAGGAAGGCAAGGUUCUUCCUUACCUCUUUUUGUUGAUGAUGACCUCUUCCUUUGUGCCAUUUGUACUAAGGUUUUCAUGUUCAACACAAAGGACCCGUGGGUAUACUCCAAGUUUGUCCCACCUCGGCAUGGCAUGUGAUGUGUGUAUUUUGCUAAUCCUAGCCCUCAUGUCAUGAGGAUAUUUUGCUUGUUUGUCCUUCUUUGAUUUCGCAAGGAGCGGAUUCGAGGUCGAAUCCUCUUUUUUCAAGAAGGGGAGGAUGAUACGAGAAUGACCACGGAGAUGGACAUAUGUGAGAUGUAUUGAACCCGAGACUUUGAGCGUGCAAGUGAAGUGCAAAGGAGGGCCUAAAUAGGCUCCAAAACAAUCCACAAACUACACUCCAAGGGCACCUAAAGUGAAGCAUUUGACUAAGGGAUCUUUUGGACAUUUCACACUAUUUUUGUAACCUACUAUAAAUAGAAUAUGUUAGGUCAUUUACUAGGGAGACUUGGAUGAUAUUUGUAAGUUGUAUAACACUUUGAAAGACAAGUCCUCUCUUUCUCUUUAGGAGGCAAUCCGAAACUAGGGUGAUACUAGUGUGGAAUCACUAGUGUUGCAUUCAUGGCUUGAGACGUUGGUGUUUAGAGGAGGUAAAGUCCCUCUUGUGUCAACGUAGGAGUUAGGUUAACCGUUGUGUGUAGUGUUAAGGGUCCAAGAGGAUCACAUGUUCUUGGGUUCUUAAGAUUAUACCAAUCAAGGUCUAACUAUCUAUCCUUUGUUCAUUUUAUUCUUGUAAUCGUUUGUACUAGUUUGUUCUUGAUUUAAGGGAAGCCGUGAGUUGUUG